CUUGCGUGCGCAUGCCCUUCUGUGUCCAGGCUCUAUUUUGUUUUCUCAGGCCUGGUGUUUUUGAGGUGGCGGGGGUCGCAGAGUCUGCUCGCUCUUCUAGGGCCAGUACUGCAGCACCAGGAAAUGGCGGAUGAGUCGGAAGAGUUGGGGGGAGAACCCGGGAUGCGCCAGUGUGCUAUGUCUGCAAAGUUGUCUGCAUCUUCCUACUAACACAAAAUAAGUAAGAUUGUGUCCAUAUAAGAGCAGUGCUUCUCAAAGUAAGAACCUGUGACCAGCGGCCUCAGCAUCCGUGUGAAUUUGUUUGAAAUGCAGAUUUUCAGUCCCCACCCCAAGCUUCUCUGAAGGGAAUCUCUUGAGAGGUAUUGUGUUGUCAAACCAGAGGUAAUCUUUGGCCUAGAGCAAAAAUAGGAACCACUGGAGGAAGAGCCUCUAAGGAACAGCCAUCCAGAAAUUUCUAACAAUUUUCCAGAAGGAUUGUUACUCUUCAAAGCCAAUGCUGAGGAAGAAGGACUCCGGCCCUUUGAAGUGUGUUGUCAGUGAGGAAUGUCAACACCAAAGUCUCCUUACAUGUCACUUUUGAUGCCAUCUUCAUGGAAACUGCAAAAGUUGUGAAUGUGUGUAUGUAUGUAUUACAUCGUCAAUUUUUACUAUUUAGCUUCUGAAGUAGCUGUCCAUUUAGUGGCUUUAUACCAGUAUUGUUCUUUGUUAGGUAUAAGAGAGCACUGAAAUGAACUGUACCUACUGGGCCCCUGGAGGAAUCUGUGUGCAAAAAUGAAUGCUGUAAUUUGUGGAGUUACAUGAAGAUGAGAUCCUACAUAGUUAUCUCUCUACAUGUACCUGUUCAUACUUACAGAGCAGGUGCAGAUGGAAAUCUCUUUAGAAGGUAGUAACUACAAAAUAAUAGAGUAUAAAUUCUCUAUGGUUAGUUUGACAUUUGUAUUUCUUAGCUCACAGCAACCUCAAACUCCUGGGUUCAAGUGAUCCUCUUGCCUCAGCUUCCCAAGUAGCUGGGACAACAGGUGCCCAGCACAAUGUCUGGCUAAUUUUUUUUUUCUUUUUUUAGUAGAGAUGGGAGUCUCACUGUUGCUUAGGCUAGUCUUGAACUCCUGAGCUAAAGCAGUGUACCAUCCUCAGCAUCCCAGAGUGCUGAGAUUAUCAGGCAUGAGCCACCAUGCCUGGCCACUGAAAGACUUCUUUAGGAGAGUUAGAAAUUAAUGCUGAGGCAAUGAAAACAUAGUAUCAAAAUAAAUAUAUGCUUAAUGAAACAUGUUUUUAAAAAGUCUUACAAGGGCGGCGCCUGUGGCUCAAGGAGUAGGGCGCCGGUCCCACAUGCCGGAGGUGGUGGGUUCAAACCCAGUACCGGCCAAAAACCAAAAAACAAACAAACAAACAAAUAAAAAGUCUUACAAAUGCAUAAGGAAAUGGCUUAAAAAAUCAUAGAGAUACCGGCAAAAUUAAUAAACAGGCCUUUUACAAACAAAUAUUUAAAAGGGGAUUAUAUAUGUACAUACACACACACAUAUAUAAAUUUGUUGAUUUCAUUGAUUUUUUUUCCAGAGGGCAAAUUGGAUCUACAUAAAGAGGCCACCACAUGCCUAACAGAAUGAUGAAACUGAAACACUCAGGAAAUGUUAAUUAUUGUUCAGGCUGGGAGCAGCCAAACUCAGCACUUGUGUGUGCCAAAAAUUAAAAAGAUUGUAAUGAGAGGGAUCACAGGAGAUCUAAAGAAAUAGAUUCUAGAUUCUACACUUCAGGACUGUGCAUUAUGACAGUUCAUCUCUACUUGAUUUACAGAUUGAGCACAUUGUCAGUCAGCUGCAUUCCAUCAAGGGGUUGUCUACCUGUAGACACAAUGAUUGGCGAUACUUAGGAAACAUAUUAUGGAAAAUGGAUCUUGGCAUUCUUCAUAAAUUAUUCAAAAAUUAACUCAAAAUGAAUGAUAGAAUUGUUAAGUAAAAACUGUAACAUUUGUAGACCCAAAGAAAGGUGUCCUCUUUGUAACUGUGGGAUUAGCAAUGAAGUUUUAGAUAUGACAUCCAAAAAAUGCACCUUUUUUUGAUAAAUUAACAAAGUGGACAUAAUCAUUAUUGAAAAUGUUCUGUGGCUCGCCACCUGUACCUCAGCGGCUAGGGCGCCAGCCACAUACACCAGAGCUGGCAGGUUCAAAUUCGGUCUGGGACUGCUGAAGAACAAUGACAACUACAACCAAAAAAAAAAAAAAGAGAAUGACCGGGCAUUGUGGUAGGUGCCUGUAGUCUCAGCUACCUGGGAGUCUGAGGCAAGAGAAUUUCUUUUUUUUUUUUUCUGUAGGGACAGAGUUUCAUGUCAUAGCCCUUGGUAGAGUGCCAUGGCAUCAUACAGCUCACAGCAACCUCCAACUCCUGGGCUUAAGCGAUUCUCUUGCCUCAGCCUCCCGAGUAGCUGGGACUACAGGCACCUGCCACAAUGGCCGGCUAUUUUUUGGUUGCAGUUCAGCCGGGGCCGAGUUUGAACCUGCCACCCUCAGUAUAUGGGGCCGGCGCCCUACCAACUGAGCCACAGGCUCCGCCCAGCAAGAGAAUUUCUUAAGCCCAAAAGUUUGAGGUUGCUGUGAGGUUGCUAUGACACCACGGCACUCUACUAAGGGUAACCAAGUGAGAUUCUGUCUCAAAAAAAAAAAAAAAAAAAAAAGUCCGUGAACACUCUUCAGAGACUAAAAUUCUAUGGGAAUCAUAUAUGAAAGGUGUAAAUAAUUGUGCCGAAAGACAAAACCGCAAUAGGAAAGAGGUUUAGGUCAGCUCUAUUGAAAAGGGAGGGUGACCCGCCUGGUCAGAACAAAGAUGGUGUCCGCACCUGGGAGUAGUUAGAGACCACAUUUAUAUGUGGCUGUCGGGAGCGCACAUUCUACAGGUUGUUUCUCAGCUAGGGUCUUUUGGUGUGAAUUUUUCAGGGCAUGGCCUAAUUAGAUUGUUUGUGUCUUUGUCUUAGGAGGAGAGAACACAGUCAGAACUGGUGGGUAGCAAUCCCUAGUCUGGCAGUUCUGUUAGAAACCCCUGCUGUGAUGCCCAGCCAUAGUAGGAGAUGGGACCUAUAGGCCUUGUCAAGGUCAGAUAGUGAAAGGGUUGGCUUUGUUUUAGAUUCUUAUGAGCUGCUAUAAACUUUAAGAAUGUUCUUUACUUUUUUUUCCUUUUUCUCUUAUAGAUUGUGCUUCUUAGUCACACCCCACACAUUUCCAGUGAGUGUGCCAUGGUACUGUGUGGGAAAGGUUGGGCAAUAUCAAAGGGCCUUGGCUUUUAAUAAGAGGAGAAUUGCUUGAGUUGGCCAUAGCACUUGUAGGGAUAUCUGCUUUUUUGCUUCUAGUCUAACAGAUGGCCGUGGCUUGCUGGGCUGCAUUUGUUUUCUCUGUAGUUAUUAAUGCUGACAUACUGGCUUGGAAGCUUAGUUCAGACUCUGGUGGGAGUGGGAUGAGGUAAAACAGGAUUGAAGAAUGAACAUGGGAGAGGGGCCAGCAGUGCCAUAUCCCUGUUUCUGUCCAUUUUCUGUUGCUAUAACGAUAUACCUAAUACUGGGUAAUUUAUUAGGAACAGAAUUUUUUUUUUUAGCUCCUCAUCCUGGGGAGGCUGUGAAGUCCAAGAGUGUGGCACCAGCAUCUGGUGAGGGUCAUCCCACGGGUGAAGGGUGUAAUGCAGUAGCAAGCAUGCAGGACAGAGAUGCGCCGGGGCCAGGCUUGCUUUAUGUAUCCUCCUCCUGUGAUAACAACUAACCCAUUAAAGAGGUCUCCUCUGUUGUGAUCCAGUCUCUUCUUACCAGGUCUUUCUUCACAACACUGCUGCUUUGGGGAUUAACUUUCCAACACAUGAACUUUUAGGGGACACCUUCAAACCAUAGCACUCCCUCAAACCAAAUGCCUGUCACUGUCUUUUCAUUGCUGUAUUCUAGAUUGUUUAGCUGAAGGUCUUUCAUCACACUGCCCCAAAUAAAGUAUUGUGUAAUUGUCAGAGGAGGACUCUACAUAGAUUUCUUUAAAAGUAAAUCUCUGCACUUUUCAAGUUGAACCUGAUAUAUAUCCCUGCUAACACAUAUUCCAGCACCAUAAUCAUGCACGAUGUUACAGCUUUUCGGUGACUUUCUCUAUGUAUGCUUUUAACAAUAAAUACAAUAAAUCUUCCUCCCUACAUCAACUAAUGUGGCUGGGCUGUCCCUGGGUUCCUAGGACCAUUCUGCCAUACAUUGUUAGUAAACCUUUUAGUUACACAGGAAAGAAACUUUAGAGACCAUGUCAUUCCAUUUCUGCUUUGAGCAGCUGAGAGAACUGACACCCAUGUUCACACAGUGAGGUAGCAUAGCCAGUCUCUUCUAUCUUCACCUCAGUACUAUAGUGUUUGGAAUCCGUCAUGGUAUUUUUAUUUCUUGACUGUACUGCACUGCCCUCUCACCUCCACAUCAGCUGAGUGCAUCAUAGGUGUAUCCUCCAUCUCAGUGAAUGGAGGAAAUGUUGUUCCAGGCCUUCACACAGCAACUGUAGGCCUGUAAAGCUUUGCCAAGUAGGACAUGCCACACUUACACAGGUAGAAACUAACCUUGAAAGGAGAGGGGGCUCGGUGCCUAUAGCUCAGUGAGUAGGGCUCCAGCCACAUACACUGAAGGUGGUGGGUUUGAGCCAAGCCCAGGCCUGCUAAACAACAAUGACAACUGCAAACAAUAAUUGGCCAGGCAUUGUGGUGGGUGCUUGUAGUCCCAGCUACUUUGGAGGCUGAGGCAAGAGAAUUGCUUGAGCCCAAGAGUUUGAGCUUACUGUGAGCUGUGACGCUAUGACACUGUACUGAGGGCGACAUAGUAAGAUUCUGUCUCAAAAAAAAAAAGAAAGAAAGAAAGAAGAGGGAUUUACUCUUUUCAAGUUUUUCUAAGAAAAUUCUAGAUGAAAUAGAAACAGUAUCUAAGACUGAAGCCUCUGAAGCCAGGCUGUGACAUCCUAUCCUUGUUUUAUCACUUAUGACUUCUGUGAUCUUGAAUAAGGUACUUAACAUGUCCAUGCUUCAUUUUUCUUUAGAAAAUGGAGUUGAUGAUAGUACUUGGUGGCCCAUGCCUGUCAUCCUAGCACUCUGGGAGGCUGAGGCAGGAGGAGUGAGUGAGGUCAGGAGUUUGAGAUAAUGGUACCUAUUCAUUUAGUUUGGGUGCAUUGAUUUUCCGAAAUCAAACAGAAUCACAGUGUUGUGUUGUUUUCUUGCCAUGCCAAAGGAAUAAGAGGAUAGAAGAACUGAACUUUCUUUGAAGCCCAUUUGAACAGUAAUAUCUCAGUCUUACAAAUAUGUAUCAUAUUUAGGAAUACAAAGAUGUGAAGUAUUAUUAAAAGUGGUACAAAAUUAGGGAGUAAGGCAACCAAUCAGAACUAUAGGUUGUUUUUGAAUGUUAUUAAAGGAGCCAGGGCAGUAGUUUCUAGGUUCUGAACUCUUUCAGAAUCCCCUUUUCAAAUUUACUUCCAAGGACAAAUUUGUAUUAAUAGGGAAUAGAACACGUGGAUAACAGUGUAAAAUAAUUCUACAAGCCUCCAAAAACAAAAUUGGUAUUUUUGUGAGUGUUCUCCGUUUUAUCUCCUACGUAAACAAAUUCUUUCACUAAUUUUAUAUCAUGGUAAGAGCUUUCCUCAGUAGCUCUAGGGAAGAGGAGGUAUGCCUGGCCCUUUUUGAGACUCUAUUUAUUAAUAUGAAUACUGGCAGUUGUCACAGUGCUCUAGAAUUCUAUCAGUUAGCAUUAUACAUUAAAGAUAGGCCUUUGGAUUCUAGGUUAAGGCAGACACAAGUGAGGAUUGAGUAGGAUUGCUCUGUGCAGCAGCAGAAUAGGGAGCACACAGCACUAACCUCCUAUACCUCACAGUUAGGAUGAGGAUGAAGACAUCCUUGUAAGACUAGAAACAAUGCCUAGUCCAUGUGAAGUGCUCUGUAAAGGGGAAGAGGCCUUAACAAACUGGAAAAGGUAACACGUAACAGCAGAAGAAAAAAUUAGAAAGAUUAGGCACAUGAGCCUCCUCCAUGUGCAGGAGGCUAUCUGUAACUGAGAGAGAGGAGUCACUGUCAGAGACCAAAUAGCCUCCAGGAGCUAAAAGUGGUCCUUGGCCAGCACCCAGGAAGAAUAGAAAAGUACUCAGUCCUACAGUCACAAAGAGAACUGAUUUGUUCCCACAACCUGUGUGGAAGCAGAUUCUUGCCAGAUCCCAUGGACAGGAAUGCAGCUGGUCCUGGAUCUUGACUCUGGGUUUCUGAGAGUCUGUCUAUGCAGAGAAUCCAGUCCAGCCUGCUUGUACUUGUGGCCUACAGAACUACAAUAAUGUUGUGUGAAGCCACUACAUUUGUAGUCAGUUGGUGUUCAGCAAUCGAAAUAUAAUAAAUUAGGUAAAAUAGGCAGUUUACAAAAGAGUAUGGGCAGUAUAAUUUCCUCCUUGUUUAUAUAUUCCUGUAUUAGUGAGUCUGCAGAGUAAAAUGAACUAAAGUAUAUACACAGUGUUGUUAACAGGGAUGCUUGGUUGGCAAGUUGAAUUAAUUGAACAGAAUAUAACCAGCAGACAACUGCUAAGUCUCCUAACUCAUUAUUUCCAUGGACUAAGUGUCAUAGAAGGAACUUGGGCAUUCUGUGAGGUCUUCUUCAAUACCACCUGACUUUUGGCAUUAAUCUCUUUUUCUUUUGAGACAGGAGUCUCACUUUGUUGGCCUAAGUAGAGUGCUAUGGUGUUACAGCUCACAGCACCCUCAAACUCUUGGGCUUUAAGUGAUUAUCUUGCCUUAGCCUCCCAAGUAGCUGGGACUACAGGCACCUGCCACAAUGCCCAGCUAUUUUUUUUUUGCAGUUGUCAUUGUUGUUUAGCUGGCCCAGGCCAGGUUUGAAUCUGCCACCCUUGGUGUAUGUAGCUGGUGCUCUCUGUAACCAAUGUGCUACGGGCGCCAACGGGGCAUUAAUCUGUUCUUGCUGUUUGUCUACAGAGUAGUAUUGUUCUGGGUUUGAGAUCUGAAAAAUUGGAUUUCAAAAUGUAACUUCACUACUUAGGAGCUUUGUGAAACUCAGGUAAUUUAAAUACUUCUUAUGGCUUUAAUUUCCUCAAAUCUAAAUUCUGAAAAAGAUUACUCACCAGCUGUGGUCACUGUGAAGCUUCACGCAGAUAAAUGCAAAGCAAAUGAUAUCACCAUUGCUGAGUACCUGGGCCACCCCCAAGGCGAAAGCUCACGUCAUUAUUGUUCUUAUAUGUUCAAACAGGUUCAGCUGUGUUAGUAGUUUUCAAUUUAGUCUUCCCCAUGGUCCUUCUUUCAUCAUGUCUUGGUAUUAUCAAGUGCCUAGCAUGGUGCCUGGCAUCUAUCAUGUACUUGGUAACUUCUGCUUCAAUUAAUGCAUGAGUGAAUAAUCUGAAUCCUGAUAAAAUGAAAUGUUUGGUUCCCAAGACAAUGCAGACUCCAGUCACAUAGCACUGUCAUGAGAUGUCGGUAUAAACAGGAGAACUUUGCAUUUCAGGAAUAUUGUGGUCUAUAUUCCAUCACUCUUCUAGGCAUUCACAGAAAACACACAACUGUAAUACUGUGAAAGCAGAAAGCAAACUUCCAGGGCUUUGUCCACCUCCUUCCUGUUUUCACUGUGUGGGUAAAAACUGUGUAGGUUGUAUGUAGCCUUACAUACAAAAACCUGCUUUACAAAGAAAAAUUUUCCUGCUAAGCUUGUAGUCCUGAAGACAGACCAAGGAGACUUCUUUGGGGACAAUUCGAUCUGCACAGCCUUUUUUCUAUUUCUGCUUUAAAUCUUUGUCUCCAGGCUUGUGUCAGAAGGCAGCAUUGUAAAGAACACAGAUUCAAAUGGUAGUUUCUUUACUGAACAUUGGUGCUUCUGUGCAAGUUUCUCAACCUUUCUGAGCUUCCUUUUGUCCUGUGGAAAAACAACAAAAAAACAAAUUAUAGAGAUCACUAAUGUUGCAGCUAUGGAGAUUUAAGCAGGAGAUCAUUCUCUAAAAGUCUAGUCCCCAGAGUGUCCUGGAAUGAAAAGGGAGUAUUUUCUUUGCAGUGCUGAAGGGAUUUGGACAAUGAGCCCACAAGUACUCGGCCUAAAGCCUUCUAUCUCUAUUAGGUGCACGAGCUCUCUGGAAGGCCUUGCUUUGAAUGAUCCCCAGCUGUAACCUCCUCUUCAAAAACACAAGUCUAAAAAUGGCUAUGAAUGCUGUCCUCUCUUAGGCUUCUUGUGGUCUCCAUAACAAAACCUCCAAGUCGAGUAUUGUGGGCUUAUAAAAAUGUCUACAGCCGGUUUGUCAUCUGCUUUAAUGAUGUUUCCUAAUGGUUAACAUGGACAUUGGCAUCUUUUAUCUGGGUAAAGUGUUGUGAGACUGGCUUUCCCCUCCCCUAAAUAGUUGGUGUAAACAGCCCAUGAGCUGCUGGAAUGCAGACCUAUGAUUUUUGUCUUCCUACAAAGAGAUGUAUUCUGGAAGGCAUGGGGAUUCUACCUCAUUUCCUGCCACAACAGGCAAAAUGGCCCCAUUGCUAUUGGAAAAUAGUCAAUACUCCUGUCCCCGGAGCCCACACACAGUGUGUGCAGCAGCUUCAGGAGGGAAUAAAAAAUAGAUAAUAAGGUAAAUGAUGUUUUUUAGCAUCUAUUAUGUGUGAAAGAGGUUUCAUGAGCUUCAUUUCAUUGAUAAAGAAAUUUUAUGUUGAAAACACAUAUUUUGUUUAAAAUAUGGACUCACUUCACUUAACUAGGCCACUUCAAGGCAGCUAAAAGGAAAGCCAGCCAGAGCAAAAAUAGCUCUGGAUAUACACUUACUAGUAGCAAUAUAAUCCCUUUCAUAUUGCUACUAGGCCUUUCUUAUUUUUUCCUACCUUCCCCAGGAUUCAAGACUCACAAGGCAGGGUUCCUGCUUGCCUUUGUUCUUCCUUUACUAUUCCCCCUUUAUCACAAUUUUUUUUUUUUUUUUGAGACAGAGUCUCACUUUUUCACCCACAGUACAGUGUUAUGGUGUCAUAGCUCACAGCAGCCUCCAACUCUUGGACUCAAGUGAUUCUCUUGUCUUAGUCACCCAAGUAGCUGAGACUACUGGUGCCCAGCACAAUGCCACAGGGUCAUGCUCUACUUCAGGCUGGUCUUGAACUUGUGACCUCAGGCAAUCCACCCUCCUUGGCCUGCCAGAGUGCAGGGAUUACAGGCAAGAUUUACUGCAACCAGUCCCCCUUUAUCAUACUAAGUUAUGUUUGUUGUCUUCCAAAUGCUCAAUCAUAUUUUGUAGCCACCGAGUUCACCACUUUCUCUUUCUGAAAACUUUCCUUUCUACCUCCCUCCUGAUAUUCACUUCUGAUUCUUUGUCCUUUUUUCAGUCUGUUUUGUUGCUUUGGCAAUACCCAUGUAUCUUUGUUAACAACCAAAAAUUAUGGGGCGGUGCCUGUGGCUCAAAGGAGUAGGGCGCCGGCCCCAUAUGCUGGAGGUGGUGGGUUCAAACCCAGCCCUGGCCAAAAACUGCAAAAAAAAAAAAAAAUAGAAAUGGCUGGGAGAAAAUCGCUGAAUGAAAAUGAUCUCUUUGUCUUUCUUCCGUUGGCCUUUGUGAAGCAACAUCAGGUUUGAUAAAUGUCAAAAAUAGAACACAGGCUUGGCGCCUGUAGCACAGUGGUUAUGGCUCCAACCACAUACACCAAAGUUGGCAGGUUGAAACCUGGCCUGGGCCAUCUAACCAACAAUGACAGCCAUGGGUUGUGACGGGUGCCUGUGGUCCCAGAUUCUUGGGAUGCUGAGGCAAGACAAUCACUGAAGCCCAGGAGUUUGAAGUUGCGGUGACCUUUGACCCAUGGCACUCUACACAUAGUGAGGCUCUGUCUCCAAAAAAAAGAGAAAAAUUAGAAGACAGAAUCAAGCGGGUGCAUGUCCUCCUCACCUGCUCAUAGCUGUUUCUGACGAUGAUCACCAAUACUACUUUCUUCUGGAGGUCUUGAGCCUUCAAGAACUCUCAUUAUAGACAAGUCCUUAAGAUGUUGGAAGAGAGAUUUGUGCUAUGUUCAGUUCCUAUAGCCGUAUAGGUUUCUUACUCUGUCUCAUAGAAGAAAGAACAGACCUAAUGAAUUAGAAGCUGCAUUUUUGCAAGAUACCAGGGGAUUCAUAUCAUAUUGAAGUUUGAGAAGCACUGAUCUGGAGCAGUGGGUUAAUGCUCAACUUCACUUUGGAAUCACCUAGAUCAGCACACUUGAACCUUCAGUUAAAACUUUGAUGGCACACUUAAAUUAUGGUAUUAAAAACACAAAAAGAGUAGGGCGGCACCCGUGGCUCAAUGGGCAGGGCAACAGCCCCAUAUACCGAAG
Nycticebus coucang (slow loris) is the source of this 10286-nucleotide long non-coding RNA. RefSeq lists it as uncharacterized. Lineage: Eukaryota; Metazoa; Chordata; Mammalia; Primates; Lorisidae. The transcript has 5 exons. The record is from RefSeq and is a predicted model, not a curated record.